RNAcentral lists this ribosomal RNA (505 nucleotides) under Proboscidactyla flavicirrata. RNAcentral describes it as "partial 16S ribosomal RNA". It matches the Rfam family "Bacterial large subunit ribosomal RNA", at positions 1895 to 2587 of the family's 2925-position model. Lineage: Eukaryota; Metazoa; Cnidaria; Hydrozoa; Anthoathecata; Proboscidactylidae. The record is from RNAcentral.
AAUAGCUAAUAAAAUACCUAAAAUAGAAUUAAACGGAAGCGGUAACUAUGACCGCUAAUAAUGUAGCGUAAUCAUUAGCCAUUUAAUUGGUGGAUAGUAUGAAAGGAUAAACGAAUAUUUCACUGUCUUAAAAAGAAAUCAUUUAAAAUUGGAAUAAUAGUGAAGAUACUAUUUAAAAUUGUAAGACGAAAAGACCCUAUAGAGCUUAACUAUAAACUUUAUAAUCUUUCAUAAAGUUUGGUAGUUUAGUUGGGGCGACUGUUUUUUAAAAAUAACAAAAACAAACAAUAUUAAUCAAAUAAUUUAUUAUAUAAUUUAUAAAUUUAAUAAUUACUAAAGUAGGUGAUAAUGACCCGUUGUUUCUUAAUAAAUCAGAACAACGUUUAAUAAAUAAAAGCUACCUUAGGGAUAACAGGAUAAUUUUGUGUUAGAGUUCUAAUUAAACACAAAGUUUCCCACCUCGAUGUUGAAUUAGAACUCCAACACAAAAUUAUCCUGUUAUCCC